UACGAAGGGGGCUAGCGUUGUUCGGAUUUACUGGGCGUAAAGCGCGUGUAGGCGGGUCGUUAAGUUGGGGGUGAAAUCCCGAGGCUCAACCUCGGAACUGCCUUCAAAACUGGCGACCUGGAGCAAAGAAGAGGCGAGUGGAACUGCGAGUGUAGAGGUGAAAUUCGUAGAUAUUCGCAAGAACACCAGUGGCGAAGGCGGCUGACUGGUCCGGUUCUGACGCUGAGGCGCGAAAGCGUGGGGAGCAAACAGG
Molecule: ribosomal RNA, 253 nt
Filed under: uncultured bacterium
Lineage: Bacteria
Description: partial 16S ribosomal RNA
Rfam family: Bacterial small subunit ribosomal RNA
Source: RNAcentral